Python bivittatus (Burmese python) is the source of this 1277-nucleotide long non-coding RNA. RefSeq lists it as uncharacterized. The record is from RefSeq and is a predicted model, not a curated record. Lineage: Eukaryota; Metazoa; Chordata; Lepidosauria; Squamata; Pythonidae.
GCGACCUGCCCACACGCUGCAUGGGGCAUGGCAGCAGCUUUGGUUGAAGUUGGAGAACUCUCUUGCCUACCUAAGAGAUCUGUCGACAUGCUGUGUGCCCAGCUGUGUUUGACUUCAGCUUCUAUAAUCACCAGCCAGGACAUAUUAACAGGGAGUGACAGACAUUCACGCUCAACAUUUCUGGAGGGCACCACGUUGGAGAAGGCUGCUGUAUAUGACAUGCCCACAGACACAUGAAGGCUCCUGGGAAGCCCAAAACUGAAUUCACAGGAAAGGAGAAGUACAGCUAGACAUCAUCAGCAUAUUGGUGGCAAUUGCCACCUUCUUAUAGGACCCAGAGAGGAAGAAUUGAAUCAACACUGGGCAAUACCUCCUUCCUUCUGCUCCUUCAGGUACUCCAAACUGUGAUUAAAGUGACUGAAAUCUGCCAAGAGAGUCAAAAAUAUCAACGUUGCACUUCCCAUGUCUGUCUUGCAGUACAGAUCAUUCAUCUGGGUGACCAAUACCAUCUCUGUCCAAUUCUAAUUCUGAAUCUAGACUGAGAAAUAAUCAAAAUAAUCUGUUUUCUCUAAAAAUGUUUGCAGGAUUGCAUUGAAAGCCUGCUGUUCCUAGUGUGAGAGCUUGAAGAAAGUAUCCUGACAAUCAGCUGGAAUCCUGAAUACAAUUAUCUGUGAUUGUUAGGUCAGAAAAUUGGGUAUACAAUCAGAAAAGAUUCUGGAUAGAUGCAUAUGAAUGAAGUAACUUGAUUGUUGUUGCUACUGCUGCUGCUAUAUUGUUGUUGGUGGUGUGCAAAUGUCACAAUCUAAUCAACUGGGUAUUGACCUCAAUGAUUCAGAUCCUGGCCGAGAACCUAAACAUGGAGUUAUCUCCACAAAAUGUAUACUGUUCCAGGUAAGGGGAUCUUUUGCAAAAGUAGUAGUGUCACAUCCAGUAAAAUUUAAAAUUUCUGAAAUCUGGUGAAUCCUUUUGGAAUUGCAUCAUGAGUUCCAAUGGCAAUCAGUAUGAAAACUGAUUUUUUCCUCUAUACCCUUUUGACUUCAAUUUGUAAAUCAUAGUAUUUUGUUACUUUAUCCAGUUGUUUUCCAGCAAUUCAAUUGUCUCCUGGUAUUGUCACAUCAAUGGACCACAUCUUCUUUUCUAUAACAAUGGUGUCUGGUUAUUACAUUCUAAGUGCCUAUCAAUAUAAAUUUUGAAAUCCUACAAAAUGUUUUCAUCUCCUUUUACAAAACUUUUUCAGGCACAUGCUCUGAAUAGAUUUUGCAAACAAUAAAGCCAAA